This 32871-nucleotide long non-coding RNA is filed under the name Coffea arabica (coffee). RNAcentral describes it as "long non-coding RNA (CARA_LNC006682)". Lineage: Eukaryota; Viridiplantae; Streptophyta; Magnoliopsida; Gentianales; Rubiaceae. The record is from RNAcentral.
GGGAUGCUACAAAGAGAACAGGUCUUCAGACUUUCAGAAGGGAACAUGACCGAUUCUGGAUCCUUGCGGCUCACCCUGAGAUGAAUCUUCUAGCUGCCGGUCAUGACAGUGGCAUGAUUGUAUUCAAACUGGAGAGGGAACGCCCUGCAUUUUCUGUGAGUGGUGAUUCUCUGCUUUAUGUGAAAGAUCGCUUCCUGCGCAUUUUUGAGUACUCAACUCAGAAGGAUACUCAGUUGAUACCAAUUAGGAGGCCUGGUUCUAACAGCUUAAAUCAAGGCCCCCGCACUCUUUCCUACAGCCCUACUGAAAAUGCUGCUUUAAUAUGUUCAGACAUGGAUGGAGGUUCUUAUGAGCUCUAUAUUGUACCGAAAGACAACUAUGGUAGAGGUGAAACUGUUCAAGAAGCCAAAAGAGGUAUUGGAGGUUCAGCAGUUUUCGUUGCUCGAAAUAGAUUUGCUGUGCUUGAGAAGAGCAGCAACCAAGUGGCGGUCAAGAAUCUUAAGAAUGAUACUGUGAAGAAGAGUCCUCUUCCUAUUGCUACAGAUGCAAUUUUUUAUGCAGGCACAGGAAACUUGCUGUGUAGGGCAGAGGACCGAGUUGUCAUUUUUGACCUCCAACAGCGCUUGGUACUUGGGGAACUUCAGACUUCUUUCAUCAGGUAUGUAGUCUGGUCACAGGACAUGGAAAGCGUUGCUUUGCUCAGCAAGCACUCAAUAGUCAUAGCUGAUAAGAAACUUGUUCAUCGGUGUACUCUUCACGAGACAAUCCGUGUCAAGAGUGGAGCUUGGGAUGAUAAUGGUGUUUUCAUAUACACGACACUAACGCACAUCAAGUAUUGCCUUCCUAAUGGGGACAGUGGAAUUAUUAAAACCCUGGAUGUCCCUAUAUACAUCACUAAAAUAUAUGGCAAUACAAUCUUUUGCCUGGAUCGAGAAGGCAAAAAUCGUCCUAUUAUUAUUGAUUCAACCGAGUACAUUUUUAAGCUGUCUCUGCUAAGGAAGAGAUAUGACCAGGUCAUGAGUAUGAUUAGGAACUCAGAACUCUGUGGGCAAGCCAUGAUUGCUUAUUUGCAGCAGAAGGGAUUUCCAGAAGUUGCUCUGCAUUUUGUAAAGGAUGAGCGAACUCGAUUCAACUUGGCUCUCGAAAGUGGAAACAUCCAGAUAGCAGUUGCAUCUGCUAAAGAGAUUGAUGAGAAAGAUCACUGGUACAGGCUAGGGGUGGAGGCCCUUCGUCAGGGUAAUGCUGGCAUAGUUGAAUAUGCAUAUCAGAGGACGAAGAACUUCGAGAGGCUGUCAUUCCUUUAUUUGAUAACAGGGAAUUUGGAAAAGUUGUCCAAAAUGAUGAAAAUUGCUGAAGUUAAGAAUGAUGUUAUGGGCCAGUUCCAUGAUGCUUUGUACCUGGGUGAUAUCCAAGAACGUGUCAAGAUUUUGGAGAAUGCUGGUCAUUUGCCCCUUGCAUACAUCACAGCCUCAGUCCAUGGGCUUCAUGAUGUUGCCGAGCGUCUCGCUGCAGAUCUGGGAGAUAACGUCCCAACUUUGCCCAAGGGGAAAUCUGCUUCACUCUUGAUUCCCCCAAAACCUGUGUUAUGUGGUGGAGAUUGGCCCUUGUUGAUGGUCACGAGAGGGAUCUUUGAGGGUGGUCUUGAUAAUGCUGGGAAGGGUGCACAAGAGGACUAUGAAGAUGCCGCAGAUGCUGAUUGGGGCGAGGCUUUGGAUAUUGGUGAAGUUGAAAACAUCCAGAAUGGUGACAUCAGUAUGGUCUUGGAUGAAGAUGAAGUGCAGGAAGACAAUGAGGAGGGAGGAUGGGAUCUUGAGGAUCUGGAUCUGCCACCUGAUGCUGAUACGCCUAAGACUGCUUCAAAUGCACGUUCAUCUGUAUUCAUAACACCAACUAAUGGAAUGCCUGUUAGCCAGAUUUGGGUUCAGAAAUCAUCCAUUGCCGCAGAACAUGCUGCUGCUGGGAAUUUUGACACUGCAAUGCGGUUACUGAGCCGACAAUUAGGAAUAAGAAAUUUUGCUCCUUUGAAGCCAUUGUUUAUUGAUCUUCAGUCAGGCAGUCAUACUUAUCUGCGUGCCUUCUCCUCUGCACCAGUGAUUACUGUUGCAGUUGAACGGGGUUGGAGUGAGGCAGCAAGUCCUAAUGUGCGGGGUCCACCUGCCCUUGUGUUCAACUUUUCUCAGCUGGAUGAGAAACUGAAGGCUGGCUACAAGGCCACAACUUCUGGAAAGUUCACUGAAGCACUGAAACUAUUUCGGUCUAUUCUGCAUACAAUUCCCCUUAUUGUAGUUGAGACUCGGAGAGAAGUGGAUGAAGUUAAGGAAUUGAUUGUUAUUGCAAAGGAGUAUGUUCUAGGUUUGCAAAUGGAGCUAAAAAGGAGGGAAUUGAAGGAGGAUCCUGUUCGUCAGCAGGAGCUAGCUGCCUACUUCACUCAUUGCAAUCUGCAGCUCCCCCAUUCUAGACUUGCCCUAUUGAAUGCCAUGCUUGUUUGCUACAAGGCUGGCAACCUCAGCACUGCAGCAAACUUUGCUAGGCGCCUCUUGGACACCAAUCCAACAAAUGAAAACCAGGCCAGGAAUGCUCGUCAAGUUCUUCAGGCUGCAGAGAGAAACAUGAAAGAUGUUUCUCAGCUGAAUUAUGACUUCAGAAACCCCUUUGUGACCUGUGGAGCCACGUAUGUUCCCAUAUACCGUGGACAGAAGGAUGUCAUCUGCCCUUAUUGCGGUACCCAUUUUGUUCCAUCACAGCAGGGGCAAUUAUGUACUGUGUGUGAUCUUGCUGUUGUUGGAGCUGAUGCAUCUGGCCUUCUUUGCUCUCCUUCACAAAUGCGAUGAUUACAAUUCCUUUGAAUAUUUAGUUCAUCCCAACAGGCUGUGUCGUUAGAAACAUAAAGGUAGGAAUAUUACUUUACCCACACUAUACUUACUUUAUUUCUGCAAUUGGUUUCCUACACCCCCCCCCCCCAUUUUUUAAUUUGCCUGUAGCUUUACCAAAUGCCAAAAAAUGAAACUGAUGUUUGCUCACAUUACCUGGAGUUUUUCUUUACUAAUGCCUCUCGCUCAAAAAACAUCUCAUGUCUUUCCCUUUUAUUCAUCCAUCUCAUAUUUCUGCACUUGCUGAUUAACUUUCCAAAUAUAAAUGAAGAAUUGAGGUAAUUAUCCAUCUAACAUUGUAGCGAAUUCUUGGAAUAUUCUCUUUUUCCACAUCCGUCUUAUUCUUUUUUUUUUCCUUUGGUGGGCGGUGUGGAUAUUUAUGUUGCAAUUGCUUUGUAUGUGGCAGAUAAAUAUUUUUUCUCACUGUUGCUGUGAAGGAAGGGUUUCAUCCAGAGACUUUGUAGGGAAAGCUGGAAGAGAGCUAUUUAGAACCUCUGUUUUGUUUUGUUGAAUGAUGUCGUCUCUCCAUCAAACAAGGUCAGGGAGCUCUACUCUAUUGGCCGGUCUGAUUUUGUUCUUUUUCCCUUUCUGCGGUGUGGCUGGCUAUGAAUAAUGUAAUGGAAUUUGAUACUAUCUUUUUGUAUUACUCCGUAUUUGACUAGUUUUUUUCCCCCUUCUUACCGAUAGUGUUAUCCUUCUGUACAAGUUUUCAUUCUUUUUGCUAUAUCUACUGAACUCAAUGAUAUCUUAAUGGGAUUCAGUAUUUAGAACUCUCUGAAGGGAAUUUACUGCAGUAAGAGCAAUUGGUAGUUACCUUGGCGUCUGUCUUGGUUUGAAUUUGAUUAAUGGUACCUAUUUAAUUGUCCUCAUAUUGUCUUCUAAGUUUCGAGUUGUCAACAGUUCAAGCGGGGGAGGUUUCUCUCUGUUGAAUCAAAUGGAAUUGCCCCCUCUCUCUUUUUUUUUUUUUUCCCCGGUCUUUCCAUCGUUUUGUUUUGAACUGAUUCUGGUGUUUUACACUAAAUUUAUAUUACUGCCAAAACAACCCUAUUCUAUGAAGAACGUGUUCAAACCCGUUUAAAAGUUGUAAGCUUGAGACGAACCAAUUUACACGGCAGGGGAUUACUAGACGACCCAAUUUACACGACUAGGGAUUUAGACGAGCAUUACAUGGGUCACGUGGGAGUAAUUGAUGUCCCUGAGUAAGUGACUUGUAUAUCAUGCGACAGAAAUUGCAGACUGCCAGAUGCAAAUGGACCUCCUGAUGCACUGAAGUCCAACUGCUAGGAGUAACAAUCCCGGGUAUUGCUUCGUAAAAAGAAAAAAAACUAGUGUAUCAGUUAUAUUGAUGCUAGCUUGUAAUUUGACUGAUCAACGUUAAUCUUUGUCAUGUAGUGGUACCAUGCAACCUUAGUGUCAGUUAAUUGCAACUGAUAAUAAACAAGUUGAAUUUCCAAAAGAUUGAAGGAACAGGUUUGUGCUUUGGGCUUCAGAACACAGAAUCUCAGUAGGGUAAAACCCACUGCAGACACAGUGCGCGUAGCAUACAAUGGCCCAUGGUUGGUUUCCAUUCUUCCGGCAGCAACCCUUUUCUUCCCCUGUUCUACAUGCUCCGACACUGAAUGGGCCUUCCACCUAUUUAAAUCAUUUUAUUUGGGGUUCGAGUUCUCUUAUGUGGGGCCUCUUGUAGUUUGGCUCGUUUCGGUUUAUUUGCUUAAGCUGGGCUUGGAUCUGGGUAUUUAGCUGUACAAAAGUAUGCCAAUGCCACCCUCUCUUUUUUUUCCCGGUUGAUAGAUUAUCACGAUAACCAAUAAUCUUAAGACGGUGAAAUCAUUCUUUAUACCCAACAAAUUAUCUCAUACCCAACUUAUUUUAUGUAAAAAAAUUUCUUUACGCAUGUCAGUUUGCAUGUGUAACAGAAUCACGUAAGAAAGCAUGUGAAAUUUCUUUGCAAGCAGCAAGUAGUAAUUGACUUGGUGCAUAAAAUAAAACGUUAAAUUUGGUAGUCUGUAAGUCAAGUCCUUGUUCCACAUUUCCUCGUGAUAUUUGCUGAAGGCAAUAAAAUUAAUUUCCCGUGUUCACGCCCCCCAGUACCAUACUUCAGACGAAUCCAUAUACUUUGAGGUCGAAGAGGGUUCUCUCUGACAAUUCCUUUAACCGGUUAUCGCAGGACAUAACAUGUAUAACCAACUCCCACUCUCUCUAGAGGUGUUGACCACAACAUUAAUUUUAGGACGAGAGGAGGACAAUGGUUCAAAAUUUUGUCUCCCAUCAAUAUGUCUCUAUAUAAGGAUUGUUCUAAAUCUAUACGGGUGCGUGAUACACUCGUCUGAUCUGAUGGCGAUUUAGUUCCCGUCAGAUUCCUUCGACUCAGUUGGGCCACCCCUAGAGUGGGCUUCCCCCUAUAGGACAUAACAUGUAUCGCUUGGAAAAGCUCUUACGAAGUGCAAUCAGCGUGAGAAGAUGGAAAGUUUACCAUGAGUAGCUAUGCAGACAUUUAUACAUGAGCACGUAAAUAUGAAUAUGCUGUUGUAUAUAUAAAUGUAUGCAUAAUUAAAUCUUUCUCUAUAUUUUUAGUGCAUAUGCUUAUGGAUCUAAAUAGACGUUACAACAUUUUAAUUUGAAUUUGAAUAUCAAAUAUAUAUAUAUGACAUGCAUUUUAAAUUCGCUCGUGUAUUUUAAGCUAAAUUUCUUUACCAAAAAUAUAUUACGGCCAUACAAUACAUAACAGGCGUAGGAUAUAUGCAAGAUCUGCAUAUGAUGUACUCCUACUAGUAUUUGUACAGAUCACAGAGAGCCAGGCAGGUAGCCAGCCAAUUUGAGGUUUCGAUUAACAUAGGUAGGGAUUUUGACCCCAAAAAAAAAAAUUAACAUAGGUAGGGUUGUGAAAACUCAAAAGUUGCUGGUAGACAUGUGAAUUUCGGAGGCAACUGUGAUUCUUUCGGUUUCCUACACCAAAUAAUGACCGACCCAUAACGGCCAAACGAGCCAAUAAUAAUCAUAAGCUUAAAGAGAAACCUACCUCCCGCUCUAAAAAUCAUCACCUAAAACAUCCAUAUGCUACUACUACUUUUACUACAGCUCUCGCUAAUUAUUGGAAUUAAGUUUUGCGCCCCCUUUAUUUUAUUAGUUAGAUUUUAUCAUUAUGUCCAGCACAUGGGGGGUCAGGAGGACCCCACCAACUUGCCGCGGACCCACCCUUUUGUAUGACUAGGCUGAGGACCAUAUCUUUCGGCCUUCCUCGUUCCUCCUUUUGGCCUUUCUCGAGUUCGAUUCGAGUUGUCAAUUUAAUACUACCAGUAAUUUUGAAAAAAAAAAAAAAAAAAACUAGGUCCAUCCAUCCGUACAAUCCCGCCCUGUGAAUGGACUUUCCAUAUAUGGGUUCUAUUUCUACUAGUAGAAUGAACAAAGCAUCCGUCAAAAUACAUACGGAUAAUUAGAUGUUCCCCAACAAAGAAAAUCUUCAAGGUUUCAAAUUCAACUUGAGUAAAGCUGAUCAACGAGUAUAUUUAAAGAAAAUUAAAGAAUUCUUCAACAUCCACCCAAUUCUGGAUGGAUCGAUAAGAAUGAGAUGCCAGUUGACAUCAAUUGAUUGAUGGAGGAGUUAAUUAUCCCUGAGUUAAUGAGUGAUGGUGACUCCAUACAUCCAUAAUAUAUCCAUGGAACAACAGAAAAGAAGUACAGCAGAAAUUACCAUCUCUUAGUUCUUGAUAGCUGAGUACUAGGUAGAUUUAUAUCAUCAAAAAAAAAAAAAAGGUACGUUGUAUAGGGUAGCUAGGUACAUAUUGCACUGGCAUCCAUGUGUUAUUUAUCUCAGACAGUCUGGUGCAUUUUUGAACAAAUAAUAAUGUGGCUUCCAUUUAUUGGAACUUUAAUUAUUUUGCAGAUUACAACUUUUGUAAUCAGCUUUCCAGCAAUAAAAUUCAAAAGUUGAUGGCUGGAGUGAAGCAAUUGAGAGUUUCCUUUUCCCCAUUUUUGUUUUUAUUUUUUGGUAGUGAAAUGUCGUUCUCUUUUAAUUUUUUUUUUUUCAUAACGAUAGAAUUUCUAUAAUCUAAUCUAACCUAAUCUAGGAAGGAGAACUCGAUGCGAGUAUAGACUCCAUCGAAGAAGGCCAAUUAAGGUUGGUGGGAGACAAAGGUUGAACUCUUGACCUCCCACGCUACCAAGUUAGCAGUGAUCACCGGGCCAAAAGCCUAGUGUCAAUGUCGUACUCUAUUUGAUGGCUAGUAGAAUAGAACUCAUUAAAUUGAAGCUCAACCCAAUAGUAAGAGAUUAAAGUAGGUUCUCAAUUAAUUACGACAUUUGAGUCCGUAGAAUUCAAAGAAAAAAAAAUUUGAUAGCCAAGCGUUUUAGCUUCAAAUGGAUGUUGCGCUCUGCGAAAAGCUAAAACUUGGAUUUCGACAAGUUUCCAUGCAACAUUUCUUAAUCCCAUAUUGAUUACCGAGCUCUAAUGGGUAUUAUAUCAUGUUGAAUAAUGAGCUCUAGUUGGGAUCACAACAAUAAUAAUAUAUAUAUAUAUAUUUUACGUUUCUUGCAAUCAUAAAACCAGCCUCCCAGGUCUUCAAGUCACAUCUAUGUAUCCGCUAAAGAACAAUUCCGCUAGUCUCGAAACGCUAGACGGAAGCUUCCUUGUCCCGAAUUUUACAUGAUCAAAAUGGGAGCGUGAAAUCCUUUUUUGGUUUACUGAAGCUUGGUUUACAUGAUCAAAAGGGUUUGUUUGGAUUGCUUCAUAUUUCCCCAAUUUUAUUUGCUUACAUCAUCUUUACAAUUUUCAAUACACCUUUUUAUCUUCCCAAUAUCUUUUUAUCUCACAUACAUCACAUCACAAAAAGUGCUACAGUAAAAAUAUCCCAAAUAAUCCCAAAUAACUUACAAUCCAAACAGACCCUUAAUGGUUUGUUUGGAUUGAACAUUAUUUUUUCAAUUUUAUUUAUUUACAUCAUCAUUACAAUUUUCAAUACAUCUUUUUAUCUUUUUAAUUAUUUUUUAUCUCACAUAUGUCACGUCACAAAAAGUGCUACAGUAAAAAUAUCUCAAAUAAUUUACAAUCCAAACAAAAUAGCCACCAUAACUAGCCCCUUCCCUUCCUAUCCCCUUUUUUUUUCACUAAAUUCCCUCCUGGAAGAGUUACUAGCAUAGCUUGGACAGUAAUUUUUUUUUUUAAUAUUAUUUUGCUUACAUCAUAAUUAUGAUUCUCAAUCAACCUUUUAUUUUUUUCAACAAUCAUUUUGUCUCAAAUAUAUUAUAUCACAAAAAAGUAUUAUAGUAAUUAUUACAAAUAAUAUUUCAAAUAAUCUUCUAUCUAAACAUGCUAAAUUAAUACACUAGAAAAUUAAAACUAUGUCUGGGUAUGUGUCUCUUAUAUAUAUGUGUGUGUGCGCGCAUAAUAAAAUGCAACUGAAACAUCAAAAAGUGUAUAUAAAUUAAGAUAAUGAAGGAAGUCAGAGGUAUUGAAUUCGAUUUCAACUAUAUAUGAGUUUAUUUUGCCAUUAUAUGUGAGUUUUUUUUUUUAUAAAAUAUCAUAAUUUCAUUGAAAUUUACAUUAAUGACAGAAUUUAGAUCAUUAAAUAUACACUGAUAUGAAAGACUAAAUCUGAAAUUUUGAUACCAGGGAUCUAAAUAAUAGAUAAAAAUUAUACUGUAAAUUUCCAAAAAAUAUUUUUAAAAUAAGAUAAAAUAAUUGUAGCCGCAUGAACAUCUGUGCAUGCUUCCAAUUGUCAGAUUUGCUGAUUAACUAUUUUAAAUCCUGAUAUUAUGGUGAGAUCUGUCAUAUAAAUUUAAGAAAUUUCAGAUCUGAUAAUAAAAAAUUAAAAAAACUCAGAUCUAAUAUAAAAAAAUGAAAAAAUUACCUAAAACUCCCACCGGUAAUCCCUAGCAGAAAAAAAAAACUUUUACUAGAAAAGUAUAGAAGAGCCCAAAAAAAAAAUCUCAUUAAGCAACUUUUAGAGAAAAGAUACUCUAACUAGAAAAUCUUAAAAGAGAAUUUAUUCACACAAAUGAAAAAAAAAACUAGAGAGAGGACUUGUUCUGGGAGAAGGAUCAGAAAAACUUGUUUAUAAAAUCUUUCUUUCAUGGGAGAGUUGGAGGAAGUUUUUAUUAGGCAUUAUGUGCGAGUUAAUUUGUAGGAUUAUUAUUGUCAUGUAUUUGAGUUAAUUGACUUAAAAUUCGGUGCACAUCGUGGUCUAUAGGUAUUACUCCAACUAAUGUGGCGGUAUUACUUUGUAAUCCUAUUAAAAAAAUACCUAGGGAUAUAGGUGUUACUAAUACUUAUCCUUCAAGAUUCGAAAUUGAUCUCCUAGAUCCAGGUCUCUCUAUUUUCAUAACAAUGAAUUUAUUACUUCUUAGUCCUCGGGAUGUAGUAUUAAGAUGAUUACUUUGAUUGGACUCGUUGAUGAUUUGCUUUACAACUAUUUCCAGGAAAGCACACACUAGCACUACAUUCCCGUUACAAAAAACUCUCUACAUGUAAUUCGAGAGAGAGCAAAAAUGCACAGUUAUGAGAAGAAGAAUAUCUAGAGCUGGGGGCCGGGCAGGGUUGAAGAGAAAGUUCGCAAUAGUAGCUAAAAUUUUGGUAUGUUAUCUCACAUUGUUACAGAGUAUAAUUGAAUUGACACGGACAGGGACACGGGACUCAUUCGGAAUCAGAACAUUAGGAGAGUCAACCGGGGUAAAGCUGAGCACAGGGCUCGAGAAUGGCAGAGACACAAUUAUUGGGACUCGCACAUAUCCAUUCAUCAUCAGCCAGUCCAGCACCCCUCUAAUCCUUCUUUCUUUCUCCUCCUUUACGUACUUGAUUCAAACUAGCAAUAAAUUUGAUUUUACCUCUGAGUCUACUGCCUCUACUUCUACUACUGCAUAUCUUAUAUCAUCAACCAUAACAACAACAAAGCAACUCCUGCAGGCAACCUACGGCUCCUCUAUCAAGUUUCAUUUAUAUCCAUGAUGAUCAGCAGAUUUUCUGGGAUGACCCUUGCCAUAUCAUAUGACAUAUAGUAUGACUUGCUCUUUUUUUUUUUUUUUUUUUUCUAUAACAUGUGAUGUGCCCAAAUGGAUUUUCAAGCCCUUCUUCUAUUUGCUGCUUUUCAAGAAAGAAGAAAAUACACUACUACUAGUACUAUGAUUAUGGUUAGACUCUCAAAUGAUCACGAUUAAAAGGAAUGUUGUAGUAGUAGCAUCAAGUCUUGGAAAAGGGAUUCCCCAUUUUCUGGGAUUUAGCAAUUGGACUCAAAUUGCAAUCCUUAGAGGAAGGAGAUGGCUACGAUUUUCAGACAACAAUACUAGUACUAGUAAUAAUCAAAGUUCUUUUUUGGCACGGACAGAUUUUAUGGGAUAUAUCAAUGAAUCAUCAUAUCCUAGGAGUCUGCCUCACUUGGAUUCGAGCCUGCAGGCCUUGUUUAGUCUUGUUUUUCGCCGAAAAAUAGUCUUGUUUUUCGUGAACAUAUUUUUUUAUAAUAUUUUUUUCCUUACAUAUAUCAAAUUGUUACAGUAAUUUUUUCAUAAAAAAUUCCGGUUUAGAUUGUAUUUUUCAGGAAAAAAAAUACUAUAACGAUUUGAUGUAUGUGAGGGGAAAAUGUAAUAAAAAAAUGUGACUACGAAAAAUGACACAAUUUUUUGGCAGAAACUUACAAUCCAAACAGGUUCGAUUAGCCAACAAACAAUACUGAACUUUUUGAAAGUGAGGGUAUAUUGAUCUACUGAAAUGAGGGCAUGAAUGAAUUAAUUACCCGUGGAAUAAACGCUUUCAGAAGCUUUCUUCCACCACAAAAAAGGACAAAAAGAAAGAAAGUUCGUUUAAAAAAAAAAAUGAAAGCAGCCACAAGAAUCGAUGACUACAAAUAUAUACAUAUAUAUAUAUAUAUUCUGGGGAAAGAAGAAUCGAUGACUAUUGUCAAGUCGCGAGCUAUCUAUCAUGCAAAGGUUUGCCUGAGAAUAAUUGGUCAGAAAUAUAAUAAUAAUAAUGUGGGUGUGGCGCAGGCAGAUAUUUGUAGCCAUGAGAGAGGGCAGAGGGUCAAAUAGUGAAAAGAAAGAACCUCGGGCCCCUAAAAAUAUAAAUAUCCAAUUUGAAUUGCUAUUUACUACUACCACUGCUGCUGCUGCUACUAAACAAACGCUCUUACACACUCAUCAUUGAAUUUUGGCAACUAAUUAGUGCUUUUCACGUUUUGGUUAGCCCAAAUUAGUAUUGAAAAUUGAUCCGAUGCGGCCACUGAUUCUUGAUGAUUUCUUCUAAACUGAUUUCUCAAAGACCUCGGGGGCAAGCCACGGCUGGAUUUGGGCCGUCGUCGGUCUCGUAUAUAUUAUUGAAAACUUAAUAAAUCUAAAUACAGCCACUAAUUAGGGGAUGUCACGUGUUUGUUAAAGCUGACAAAAGAAAAAAAAUUUCUUCCCGUCUGAUAAUUAUGAGGAUGGCUCCCGUGACAGAUUACAUACAUUAUAUAUAUAUAUAUAUAUACGUAUAUAUAUUGAUUAUAGAGCCAGUCACAAGGCUAUACUAUUAGCACUAAGCCAAGUCGGAGUUCAAGUUCAAGGUUGGUCCUUGGCAACUUCUAAGUUGUCUUAUCGAACAGAUGUUAAUAAGUUAACUCAGCUUGAAAAAGUUAUUGACAACGUUAUCCCGACAAUUUUGACUAAUGAUGGGGAGCAGAAUGAAUGAAAUAACGAGAUCGAGAAAGUCUAGACAACAUAAUUAUCUCAAUAAUUAUUUCUUUAUGUAUGUGUGUUUUAUUAUUAUUUUUUUUUAUAAAACAAAGCGAAUAGCAUGAGAAAAAAACUAGUUAGAAAUCAUCUAACACGAUUUAUUUAAUGUAUGAUGCAUAAAAUAUGCCUGAUUUGAAUUUAACAGAGUUACAAAAUAAAUAAAUAAAUAUAUAAUGUGAAUCGCAAAUCAUCAGAUCUGACCAACUGUAUAAUUUGGAUUUCCAAUUUUAUUUCACAAAAGUAAAUUGCUACUAUUUGAAAUUGUUUGGAUUCCAUUGUGUUAUGUUUAUAUAUAUAUAUAUAUAUACACACAUACAUAGUACAUACAUAUUCUUUCUUCUUCGUUAUUUAUUGUUUUUGAGUAGGCUCAAGAACAAGUAGCAAAUUUCUUUUGGUUUUCUAAGGAAUAACGCCAACGCUAACACAAAAUAGCAAGUAGCACUCAUAGACACCUUUACCAUACGAAAGAAUUAUAACUUGACGUGAUGAUUUCAGUUCAUAAUAUACUCUUUGUUUCAGCAUUCUAAUGGGAUUUUGAUCUACGCUAUAAUGAUCAAAUUUGUAGAAGAAAUUUUGUGAUAUAACUCAAUGGAAAAGAAGAGAAAUUUUCUCAACCGGUCUUAAUGAUUCCAUCCAUGUUCAUUCUCUAUGAUUUGGUUAGAGACUCACAACCUGAGGAUAAUGCAUGGGCAGAUUGAUACGUCACGCACCAAUUCCACAUAAAAGGGAUGGAAAAAAAAAAAAAAAGAAGAGGAGGGAAUGAGAGUAAAGCAAUUCUUGGACUCGUGAAAUGAUGCUGAUCUUCCGAUGUCUUUUGUUGGACGAAGGGGUAUAGGCAGCAGAAUAAAGAACUUAACAAUAAUAUGUCGACAUUUAAUUGUUUCCAACCAUAUGAAAAAAUCUUACUUUACAGUUUACACCAUUGCAUCAUAUUAGUAUUAAAUUAUAAAGAAGUGCUACCACCACAUGGGCAUUCUACAAAACCAUAUCCAUAUGCAUCACAGAAGAUUGCUAUUCUUUCAAUUAAUACUACUUGAUUACCUUAGAUUUGAUUUCUUCUGUUUGGAUUAACUAUGUUUUAAGGUAUUUUUGAAAUAUUUUACUGUAGACUAGAUUAUUUUUUAGGCUGUUUUUAAGGUUCUUUUAUAUAUAUUUUUGAAGUUAUUUUUUAUGUUUUUGAAAUUAUUUUUAUUUAUAUAUUUCUGUAAUAUUAUACAUAAUUUUUUUUAAAAAAAUAAUCAAUUCAAACGGAGCACUGUAAUUUUUAAUUUCUUUGUGCCUACUGCCUACCCUAUAUAUUGGUGCGGAGUGCAUAGGAGAGAGUACGUGGAAACUUGCGUUUGCGUACAUAAAGCGAAGCAAGUUUCAUGGAGACGGAUCUUUCAAUUCUCUGUAUGGCCUUUACAGAGAUCCACUGUUGUUAUACCCAUAAAAGAACAUAAUUAAUUGAUCCAUGCAUUAUUGUUGCUGGUGCAUACAAACUCCCAAGUCAAGGACCCCCCCUUUUCUUUCUCCCUCGAUCUUCUCUUGUUCUUGUAUGUUACAUCACUUCUGUUACUGUCAAUGGGAGUUGACCUCGAAAUAGAGCACUGCCUUUACAUUUCUUCAUUGAUCCCAUCAAUAAUAUUCCUAAAACCAAACUCGAUGUAGAAUGGAGUCAAUCUUAAAAUGAUUACUCAAAGAGUUAAGAGAGGAAUACGAGGCGUUUAUUCUCUAAUUCUAGAAAUAAUUGUGCAAAAUACUUACUACUGUAGUAUGAGGCUAAGGCCAACCAUAUGCUACUUACUAUUGCAGUUUUCUGAAUUCGAGAAUUCCUCCUCUAUCAUCCUAAUGUCCGCCCAUGAAUACAUCUCUCUCAUGCUAUUGCUCUACAAUAAUUUAAUUGAAUGAAAAACUUCUUGAGAUGUUUUCAUUCAUGCAAUGCCAAAUUUUAGUAUAUAUAUAUAUAGUCAUUGGUCUGAAAUUUCUCAUCAACUUGAAAAUCUUACCUGCAAGAUCAAUUCUUAUCAACUCUUUAGCUUUGGCAUCUUGUUCGCCUAUCAUGUGUAUGUAAAUGGUUAAAAAUUCCAACUAAAAGAAAAGCAAAUAUCAACUUGAAAAUCUUACCACACACUCCAUUGCCCUAGUGUCUAGAUGAUGACCCCCUAAUCAUCCUCCAUUGAUUGGUCUGUGAGGGAAGAAUUAGUAAAGUUACCCGUAGCAUACCGUUUCCUCAUUUAGUAGAUGGCUUUGGCUCCGUUGGGAAGUUAAUAGUAAAAUCCAUCUUAAUUAUUAUGGUAAGGGGGUCAGAGGCAAAAAAAAAGUAGAGCGUGUUUUCCGGUGCAAGGACGAAUAAGCAAAAGCUGAUGCUUCGCCACGUGGGAAAGCAUUGACCGUCCGAUCGUCAUGCAAGGGCUAGGAUUCAUCCCUCAUUGAGGGAGAUUUUUGUUGCAAACUGCAAGAGAACUGUAGAAGCAAGUGGUAAGAUUUUGUUGUGCCUGCAGGCUCAAAGAGCCAGUUCAUUCAGUGUUGUUAAGUGUGAUACCUGUACAUGUAAGUGCGUGAGUGCGUGAGAGAGAAGGAGAUAGAGAGGAAAUAUUGGUACUACUAUUACUGUUGGUUGUCUUAAAUUGAGGUUGCAGAGAGGGUUCUCAGAGGCCAUGGCGGCGUUUGCAGGAGCUGUGACUUUAAUGCUUCAAAGAAAGACAAGGAAUUCAAGUUAGCAGCAGCAAGUCCCCAACUCCAAGACUCAGAGAAGAAAACCGUCCUGCUUCCUUCCCUCCUUUCUCUUUCUUUCUUUCUUCUCUCACCCCCGCCCUUAAAACAUUUUCCCUAAGCCUGUCCUGAAAACUGAAAAGCUGCAUUAAAAACAAAAGACACCCGCAAAACACACACACCCUUACAACUUUACUACUACUACUACUACUGCUACUGCUACUGCUACCACUUCCCACUUAUUCAAACCAACCUACUAGUCCGAACCCCAAAGAAUAAAAAGAAAGGGAAGAAAAGAACUUGAUGUUUCACAGCAUACCAAAUUCUUGUCUAGGGCGUAGAGGUUGAGUUGGGCUAUGGAUUUUUUUGGAGAAUUGAGGAGCAGGAGGGUAGAGUUAGCUGGUGGUGUCUUUCUCACUAGGGGUAGAAAAUGUCUGGGUUUUUUUCACUAGGUGGUGGGAAAGAGCAAGAGCAACAAGAGCAGCAAGAUACUACCAAUAAUAGCAGCUUCUAUCUGUUCAAGAACGAAGAGAUCUAUAACAAGGGUUUUGAGCUAUGGCAGCAAUACUACCAGUUGCAUCAACAAAGAAUACAACAUCAUCAUCAUCAUCAAGUAGUUGGGCAGGAUGUGGAUUUCUCAGUGGGUCCCAGUAGGAGGAUCAUCAGUAGCGGUAGUGGUGGUAGUGGUAGUAUUGGUGAUGAUUCUUCCUAUAGAUCAGCAGGAUUUAGGGUGAUGAGGCACGGAGGAGGAGGAGGAACUGGUAGUGGCAGUAGUAGUGGUGGUGGUGGUGGUGGUACUAUGAAUUGCCAAGACUGUGGGAAUCAAGCUAAGAAAGACUGUCCACAUAUGAGGUGCAGAACUUGUUGUAAGAGCCGAGGGUUUCAGUGCCAAACUCACGUUAAGAGUACUUGGGUUCCUGCUGCCAAAAGGCGUGAAAGACAACAACAACUCUCUGCUCUGCAAACUCACCAACAGCAGCAACAACAAAAUCAACAACAAUUGAGCCUGAUCAGAGGUGAUAACCCCAAAAGACUCAGAGAAAAUCCAGGCGGAGGAGGAGGGGGCUCUUCCUCUCUUGCUUGCACUCGUUUGCCUACUUCCACUUCAGGUAACGUUUGUUUUCUUCAAAAACAUCAUCAAGCAAAGCUCCACGGAGUGGAUUUGAUGGGCGUUUCAUUCAUCUAGAUACAACUAUUUUUCUUAUCUUAAAGGCACACUAGUAGUAGUAGGUAUUAGGUAUGUAGGAAUUAGGAGGAAGAAACAACAAAGCACUUGCACACUCUCAAUCAGAGACUGUAAAUGCUAGCUCUAUAGAGAGAUAUCUCUACAGGAAAGAGAGAAAAUACUCUCUAUACCAACAAAAUUCUCAUCAACACUUAGUACAUAUAUUUAUUAAUAAUAAGAAGUCAUACUCACCACAACCACCACAGCCAGCAAAGAGAUCAUAUCUUCAUAUCCUUUGCGUGCGAUCAAUGAAGUCCACCUUCCAUGGUCAGAAACACUCACCCUUUUGUCUUUAUUUUUCUUUCCAUGUCUUCUCUCCUGCCUUUCUUUUCAUUCUCCUCCUUUUACUACUGUUACCGAGUAAACCUGACCAAAAAGUCUUGUUCUUGCUCUAGUAAAAAUGCUUUCUUUGCACUUCCAAAAUUUGCAGUUCCUUUUUCUUUAAAGGCCAUUUUUUUUGUGGGUUCUGAUUUUUAUUGGCUUGUUUUUUUUGACUAGGGUUAGACGUGGGUAACUUUCCGGCUGAAGUGAAUUAUCCCGCUACAUUUAGGUGCGUAAGAGUGAGUGCAAUGGAUGAUGCAGAAGAACAGUACGCGUAUCAGACAGCUGUUAACAUAGGAGGUCACGUUUUCAAGGGAAUUCUCUACGAUCAAGGCCUUGAAAGCCGCUACGCUACUAGUGGAGGAGCUGGUGCUGGCGAAGCUUCCUCAGGCGGCGGUGGAGGUCAUGGUCAUCAUCAUGAUCAUGAUCCGCAACCACCACUCAAUCUUAUCGGGACAGCCGCCGCGGCCACCGCCAACGCUGCAGUCACCUCUACCAACCCUGCUCUCACUAUGCUUGACCCUUCCAUUUAUCCAACUCCACUAAGUGCUUUCAUGGCCGGUACGCAAUUCUUUCCACCACCAAGGUCUUAAAACGAAAAAAAAAGAAAAACAAAGUGCUAACUGGUAGUUGAGGCUAAAGAGCUUUCCCUUCUUGACUGCAUUCAGUAUACAUUGAUCUGAUGUUGUUUUUCAUUAAGUGUAUUGACCAUUGACAUCCCCCAUCGAAGUAGUUGGGAAAAAAAAAGGAAGAACAGAUGAGUAACAAAAAUGUACCAUGACAUUUCGGUUAUGUUGGUUUCCAUUUCGAAUUUCUUUGCCAUUUUGAUCGUUUUCAUUCUAUUAAUAUUACUAGUAUUGUUGUUGUUCAUCUUCUUGUUGGUUUGAUACUUUUUUUUAAUAAUAAUUAUUUUUUUGGGAUUGUUUUUUCCCAUUUCGAGAGGUUGGUGUAAUAUGCAACAUGUGGAUGUGUGCACAGUAGGCAUAUUCUGUGGGUUUUUGUUCCUUCUUUAUGAAUUUACCUGUUUCGGGUGUGAUUUUUCGUUGGCUUUUUUCGUUUGUAUUGAACUUGCAUCUGCUUUUUUCCCUUUUAUCUGAUUCCUUGCCGGAAAAAUUGAGACUAAAUAGCUGGUUUCAUGUUCGUUUUGGACCAAGAUUUUUUAUAUCCUAGUUCGCUACAUGCCAUCCAUGUUUCAUGCAACAAAAUAAUAUACAUUAUAAUAUGCGCACCGUUGAAAAUCAGAAGAGAAAACGGGGUACUAGAAGCGGUCCAGCUCUGCAAGUCUCCCAUGCAGUGGCAAAUGGCAGUUUGUCAUCACAGUCCCAAAAGUAUACGAGUCAAGAAAUCUCGCUCCUCUCUCACCUUGUUUUUGUUUGAUAUACGUGUAUGAUGAUUUAAUGAAAAGUUUGCUAAACACAAAUCUUCUCCAGUAAUAGAAACUUGAGGGAGACUAGGUGGAGCAACGUGCAUGGAUGUGACCUGUAGAAAAAUGGGACCUGUUGAAUCCUAAAUGCUAAUCUUUAAUGUUGGCAAAUGCACAGAGAUAUAAUGCUCUUAUGAUGUUAGACAUAUACGCGAGUGUGUGUGUGUGUGUGUGGGGGUGUGUUUGUGUGUGCAAGUAGAGCUUAAUAAGUUUGGUUCCUCAAAAUUAUAAAUCUUGAUGUAGGUUAAAAGUUGUACACAUCAUACGAGCAGAUUAAAGUUGCCUUCCAUAGUUUGCUAGAUUUGGUGUUGACGUAUACAAACCUAAAUUGAAUAAGCUUUCCUAGAUUCGAGACUUCUGCCCCAUACCAAGUACUCUUUUAUCUUGUAUCAGAUUAGGACAAUACACUCUUUUAACGGAUUGGCACAGCACUUCCAGUUCCUUUUUGCAUGCAUCCUAUUGGAUCUUUCUGCUAGUCUUUAAUGGGAAAAUUGGAGGGGGAUCUGGAAGCAUUUUCCACUUGCGAUCUUGAACAAAUAGCAAAGAAUAUCUUGGAGUAGCCAUAAAAUGUGUAGUCACCGGGCACGUAUGCUUGCUUUGAGUUCUUGCAAAGUAGUAUUGUGUUCUAUGGGCAUCAAGAAGAGAAGUGCUCUCAGUUGAUGUACAUGAAAAGACUAGAUGGGAUCUGGCUUCAACUUUUGAAAUCUAUCCUAUAAAAGGAAAGCAUAGAAACCUGAGUGAAAGAAUGACUGUUGCCCUUUAGUUUCAUGAGAUAUUUGGAGGAAUUUUUUUUUUUUUUAUAUGUCGAAGUAACAUACACAUUAAAAAAGUACAUGAUCACUUGGAUUAGUGCAUAUUUGAGUGCCAUUAUGAAAGAGUAAAGUUGGAAUAAAAGAUUACGUUAGAACUUCUACAUGAUGUAAUAAUCCCCACCUUGAGUUCAUGGGGAGAUCUGUUCACUUUGACCCUUAUGUUGUAUAUGAUGAUUGUAUUAGAAGCUUUCUUUGGUUCUGCAUUCCAAAACUUGCAUACCUCAAGGGGAUUGUUUGUUGGAUGAACAAGCUGUCUGCGAAUAGCAGAAUGUGGUUUCAUGCUCUCCAUCUCAAGUAGAAGCUUGGUGAUUUCUUCCAGCUAUCCAUAACGGACCGCUAAAAAUAAGAAAACAGAUAAACGAUGAUCAUCUAAGAAUUUCCAGUGUUCCACUAAAUGUGUAGAUGUUGAAAUUGAGAAACUAGGAGUGAGAAGUGCAUUAAAAAUCUGAAUGAAGGCCAAGCAUUUUGUUGAUUAAUAAUACCUUUGAAUUGUCAUUUUAAUCAAUCGUUGAGCAAGAUCGGACCAGUAACUAACAUGUGCUAUCAACCUCUUGGUACCGUGUCUUUGCAUGCUUGUAAAUUCGUUGUGCUGGAACGACGUUGUGAGAUUAUUAAGUACAUACAUUAAAGCUGCAAUUGCUUGACACUGGCCUGCGAAUCAGGUUGAUGCCACAAUGCCUCUGGAGGUUUUUGUGCUCCCUUUUUUAUGAUAAUUCAGUUUUCAACACAUCUGUUUCUCAACUCUUUUUUUAUUUUAUUUUAUUUUAUUUUAUUUUAACCUCCCGUCCCCUCUCGUACCCUUCCAACUCUCAAGUGCCAGUCCUAGGUAAUAAUAGCUGGCCACAGGUUAGGGAAUUUUGUCCUCCCAUUCAUUUCCAUUCUUUGGUUUGAAAUUUGAGGCAAGCAAAUCGAUCAAAACAUUAGCAAGACAAACUUGAGAUUUUUCGUCUUGUGAUCAUAUGUAUAGGUGUUGAACUCCAUAAUGAAAUAGGUAAGACAUGCAUUGCUUAAUUAUGACCUCACCUCAUUGUGGUGGAUGACAAUAAUCAAUCAGUAAAGAGGACAAACAGAAAAAAGACUUGCAACAUGGGAAGCUGAUCCCAGUUGUUUUAUACUCAUCAGUAUAGAAAGGCCGGACUCCUCCAGUGCAUUAGGCUUUAUAGGGUAUGGAAAUUUUAGGAUGGUAGGCUGAGGACAGCCGCGUGCUCGAUUCUGCUGCUGCUGCUCUUCUUCGCUUUCUUCUCUAAUUGACCUGGGAGAAGUGGUCCAAAUUUCAACUUUGUUGCAAAUGUUGCUACUACUGUAUCAUGCUCUCGAUUCCAUCUUUCCCUGUGGGUUGGGGUGCCGAUGGCUUAAUCCAUCCUCCUUUUUCCAUUCCAUAAAUGUGUCAAAUAAUAAUGGAGUGGCAGCUAUAUAUGGCGGGCUGAUAUUGGAGAAUGCGAGUCCCUUUGCAUGGAGGGCUGUCCUUCCUCUCUGGAUUUCCUUGACUAUGUCAUCACUCGUACUCAAGGGUGUGGACCAUUUUCGCAUUCUAUUUACCCAUAUAUGGUGCAUUAUGUAAAAAGUGACAAUCAAAGUCCGUAAACUUUAGGGCACUUAUUUCUGAUUUAAACCAUCAACGUAUCUACCCAACAAUCCACAGACGCAGAUUCAGCACUGCAACGUUGAAGAAAAAUUUCGAAGAAACAAGAAACUUGUAUAGGGUCAAUAAUUACUUACUUUUACAAUAUGAACAUAAACUUUUUCCAUAAAUUAUUCGUAUAGCAAAAGAAUAAAAUAAAAUUGCCUUGCAGCCAAAGAGACAACAACGAAUCUACAAAACAAACACAAGCAUAACUUCAAUAUUUGACAAGUUAAAGAACCAUCCUAUAACGUUUUGUUUGUUUAUGAAAUUUGUUCAAAAAAAUUAAUGCUUAACGAAUUAUAAAUUUAUGCAUCACAAAAAAAAAAAAGAAAAGAUUUAGCUGUAGAUAGGGACGUUUUUUAGUUGUGUUUUGGUGGGUGGGGGGGGUGGUGGGAAGAAAGCAAAAUGUCAAAAAUUAACAUCUUAAUAUAUAUAUAUUUUUUUGUCCAAUUAGGGGAGACUUUUUAGGUGCUGUUUCGUUCAAAUUUUCAGCAACACUGUCAUGCACCAUGAUAAAUUGGGGAAUAGCUAUGGGUUUGAUAAAAACCCGAAAAGUGUUAGAUGACUUUACACCAAUGGGUUUAAGUAAUAAAAAAAAAUAUAAUAGAUAACUAAAACUCUACUCUUUAGUAGUAAGUAGGACUGCAAACGAAUCGAACCGGUCACGAGCGGCUCGAGUUGGAUAUUGAUUGAGCUUGAGUCGAGUUCGAACUAGCCAAAUCGAACUUGAGUUCAAACUCGAUAUCAAAAUAUUAAGCUUUAUUCGCGAGGUCAAAUAUGUAUAUAUAUUUUUUAUUUUCAUAGUAAAAUUACAUAUAUAUCCCUAAUUUUUAAUUAUUUAUUAAGAAAAAAAUUAUUUUACUCAUUUUAAAAAAAAUAAUAAUUUUUUAUUUUUUCGAGCUCGAACUUUACUUGAAUUUGAAUUGAGCUCCAGCUUGACCUUUAAAUUAGCAGCUCAUCGAGUUCGAGUUUGAUAAAAUUAAGUCAAGGCUCAACUCAAUUAGAUCAAAUUUCGACUCGAUUCAACUCGUUUGCAACUCUAGUAAUAAGUCAUGAACCUAUUAAGUAAUUUUGAUUGACCUUAAACAUAUUUCUUAUUUGUAUACAGGUGUGAUUGAACCUUAAACAUUGUAUGCGGGUGUGAUUGAAAUUGAAACAUAUUUCUUAUAUCAAAACUAGCUUACUUAAUGAACACCUCAUUAAGGCUUCUAAGGGAAAACAGGGAAAGGGGAUUUUUUAUUUCCUUUUAAGUGCAAGUAAAAGAUCUCAAAUCAGAAAUCUCACAAGGAGAAGGAAAGGCUUAAUCUACAAUUGAACCUACCAACUGAAGUUAUUGUUACCCUAACGUUAGCUAGGUGUUUGAGAUAAAAGAAAUUCUUCUGUUUCAAAAAGGCCGAAGAAAAAACAGUUCAAACAGAAUUCAUGGACUUUGGACUUUGCAUAAAUGCAAGACAAGUCCAUACCAUUCAUGGGCCAAAUAAAAUGCCCAUAUCCGAAUCCCAAAUUUCAAAUAUCCUUUUGCGGGCUUUUGGUCCCCACCCAAAAGAGCGUAUCCAACAGAGGAAGUUUCCAGCGGCAUUGGACAACGACGUGGUUGAACGUUCGGUAGAAUAUCACCAACGAGGCAACCAGAAAAAAUAUAAAAAAAACUCAGAGGAAGCAAAACAUUGCGACAUACUGGCACAAGGACAGAGCACUUUUUUAAAUUCCGGCCAAUCAGAACGAAAGAAGAAAAAAGAAAAAGAAAGUGCGGUAUUUUUAGAACGUGAGAAGUCAUAGGGCGCGUAAAUUCCCCUCCGACUAGAGGAAGUAAUCGGAGGGAUCAUAAAUAAAAGCGCGUUCUGCAUUUUAUUCGUUUGUUUUUCUAGCAACAUUUCCUGAUUGGGAAAAUAAUAUAAAUUUAAAAAGGAAAAGGAUUAAUUGAAGAAGGAAUGAGUUCUCCGACGAUGGAUCUGCUGCGGUCGGAGCCGAUGCAAUUGGCGCAGUUGAUCAUACCUAUGGAGUCGGCUCAUCGCACAAUAUCGUAUCUCGGUGAUCUCGGCCUUUUCCAAUUCAAAGACGUAAGCUGCACGCUUCACAUUUUUAGUUUUAUCUUCAUGAAAUUUUGUACUAUUUUGUUUUCCUGUUUUUCUUCUAGUUUAAUUUUCUGUUCCUGAAUAUUUUUGUUUUAUCAUAAGCUUGAUAAUUUUCUAGCUGCAUUUUGCUCUUCUCAUUACUAUUUUUUUCGUAUGUAUCUCUGUUUUGGUAAUGUUUGCAAUUUGAUAGUAAUUAGAAAGAGGAAUACUAACUACUGGUUAAUCCUAUGCAAAUGCAAUAGAAUCAGUAGCUUGGAUUGUAAUCAUGUGAUCAGAUAAUCUAGUAUUGGAUUUUAAUUGUGUCAUCAGAUUAUCUACUAGUCCAUGUAACUACAUUGCUAGGUUGAUGCUCAAUUCUUUUUUGUUGGCGUAUGUGGAUUAUUGCUGGUAAAAGUAAGCAAAAUAAUCAAAUUGCAAUGUGGAAAUUAAUGUACAGUUCAGAAUGAUUAACAAGUCCUUUGCAUGUACCUUUUUCUUUUCAAUAUUACCCUUGUUGUCAAUCUAUCUUUGUAAACAUUGAAGUCAUCUUGUUCGGUAUCAGGAUGUGGAUAUCCUAAGAUUUAAUCGUCUUGUUUCUUUUGUAUCUAUGUCAAGAUUCAAAACCUAAAAUGUUCUUGAAUUGCUAACUUUUCCUUGUUUUAUACAAGAUAUGACCUUCUUUUUGUCUGCUUCACCAGCUCAAUACUGAAAAGAGCCCUUUCCAGAGAACAUACGCCGCUCAGGUUUGUUUUAGUUCUAUUAAUGACCUCUCACUAAAAUUUGUCUAUUGAAUCUUUGCCUAUUUCAGCAUAUUUGUGUCAGUAGUGGAUCAACUAAAAUGUAAACUUGUAAUGAGUUUAUUUUGUCUUCAGUUUAAUCCAUGUACAUUCUGUUGGAGUGCCUUUAAUUCAUUUUCGUUAUUAUCUUUUAUAUAGAACUUUCAAGUGAUCUAGUUGGAAGUUAUAAUUAGGUUUACAUUAUCCCUUUUUCCAUAGACUAGAGAAUGGGAGAUGAUUAUGUUGUCAAACUACUAAUAAUAGGUUCCGGAGAAGAACAAUGUCUAUCUUAGUUCUAUCCUUUGAUGAGACUAAUGGCUUCGUGAGGUUUCUCUACUGUAUCUGACAUACUUGCAUACUUUCUAGCAGCACUAAGAGUGAAAAUUGCUUUCUGCAGCUUUUGAGAUUGUCAACAUGCUGUUAAUAUUGAGGAAUUUACUUGAUUGCGUAGGUUUGUCGAUAAUGAAAACUUUUUUGGAGAUGAUAUUUUUUAGCUGCUAAGUCCACCUCCAGCUCAUGCAUGAUGUACCUUCUACUCUGUGGGAUAUUUAGCUAGUUAUUGAAAUCAACUCAAGAUAAAAUCCUUGUCUACUUUAAGUUGAACUUGUUUUAUGUUGCAUAGACUCUACACAUCUAUAGAGUUUCACUUUUCUUUUAAUAUGAUCGGCAUAGUUGGUGAAACUCGUCAGUAUAGUCUUAAGCUAAUAGAGUGACAUUUUUGGGUUUAAUAUCUGCCAGAACAAAGAUACCUCUUUCAUCCCCAUCUUACUUUCUGAGAAGUUUCACACGUCAACUUAAGGGUUUAAAAUUUGGUGGAUGAAGUGCAACGAAAUCUAACUAUGUUGGGUUAAUCGUAGCAAGAGAUUGAGUGAAGUCUUAUAGGCUUUAAGACCACCCCCAUUAAAAUGCAAGAGUGACCAUGAGCGUGGCUUAAGAAACUGGAGAAAAGAGAUACACAAGUCAGUUUUUUGUUUUUGAUAAUCCCUGACUCUCUGGCCAUGUUGAACUGCUUAGAUUAGGCCAAAUAACCUUCCAUUCUGCAGCCAUGCCCAACGCUAAGACUUGGUGUUUUCCACAUCUUGACGUCCUUUCUUUUUCAAUUUUGUAUGAGCUAGUGCCUUCUGGAUCUUCUUUCUUUGCUCAGUACACUCUAAGGCAUCCAACUUCAGUAAAAUUGUUGUAUGGAGAGAUUGAAAGGAAUGACAUUCUGUUGCCGAAUAAUCUUUUUGUUUUUCCUUUACUUAAUAUAUACUUCUCUGUAAUUUAUCAGUAUUACCUACGAAAUUAUCAGAUAUAUCUCAUAUAACUCCAUAAGUGGAGGAAGAGUAGUUUCUUUAUGUAUAGAUGUUGAAGUAUGCAGUUUUCAUUGGGAAGUUAAAGUCUAUGAUCUUCCUCUGUGAUCACCUUCAUUAAUUAACUUUUGUUUGUAGAAAUACAACUGAGUUUUGCAUAUUCUUUAUUUUCAUACUAACUAAUUACGUGAAUGCAUGGUAUGUAGAUCAAAAGAUGUGGAGAGAUGGCACGUAAGCUUCGUUUUCUCAAAGAUCAAAUGACAAAGGCAGGCUUUUCACCUUCAUCGAGGUGUAGCUUUGACACUCGUGUUACUUUGGAUGAGCUAGAGGUUAGUUAAGUUUUGACUCCCUGUGCUCACUGUAUGUGGUGGUCAUUGAUGUGAUUAGUUAUUCCAGCAUUUGCAACAGUAUCAUCAACAUCAAUGACACCAGUUACAACAGCUGCAACAAUAUAAUCAUGAUCACUAUUUUUCAGUUUUUGGACAAAUUAUUCACCAGUGUAAUUGGAAUGGUAGGUAAAACUUGGAGAACUUGAAGAAGAGCUUAUAGAAGUGAAUGCCAACAGUGACAAGCUACAACGGUCACACAAUGAGCUUUUGGAGUAUAAGCUUGUUCUGCAGAAGGUAAGGCCACGUUGCAGGCCUUUUUAGUUACAAUUCAAGCAGGAAACUAUAUAUUUUCAGUUGUUUCUUAUUUUUGCACUCAUUACUUUUCAAUCUUGGUCAAUUCAGGCUGGUGAAUUUUUCCAUUCAGCACAAAGCAUUGCUGCAGCCCAGAAUCAUGAAUUUGAAGCAAAUGUUAUGGGAGAAGUAUCUAUUGACAGUCCUCUAUUACUCGAGCAAGUAAUUUUGUCUGAUUUGACCUUAUAUAGUUUUCUCAAGCUAAGACAUUCAGUUAUUUGUCAAAAUUUUCUUUCUAGGAAGUAUAUUUUGAUUGUCAAGUUGAAUAUUGACUAGGAAAUGUCUGUGGAUCCAUCAAAACAAGUAAAGCUGGGUUUUGUUAGUGGCCUUGUAGCAAGGGAGAAGUCAAUGGCUUUUGAACGAAUUUUAUUUCGUGCAACUCGUGGAAAUGUCUUUCUAAAGCAAGUGGCUGUGGAAGAUCCUGUUAUUGAUCCUCUGUCAGGAGAUAAGGUUGAUACUCGAUAUUAGAGCUGUUUGCCAUGUUCUUAUCUUUUGGAUUUGAUUGUGGAUGAUGUCCCAUAUCUCUGUGUGCAUUUUUGUUUCCUGUGAUAUAGAGGUUCUCUGUGCUUUUGAUCUGCAGUGGUGUAUAAUGAUAGGUUUAAAGGUAUGUUUGAUGGACUAUUGCAAUAAUUAAAUUUUUUUUUUCUUAUUGUUUUCUACCUUUUAGUCUGCAAACUAUUUUUCCUACAGUAAAGGGGCGGAUGAAAACUAAUGAAUGAAAAUCACAUGAAAAAAGAUAAACAUAGUUCGAAACUAUCCGAUACCCUGCAAUAUCUUGUUUCCAGAACCUGCAAUUUUUUCCCUUUUGUUGCAUUCCUUUUGUUAUCUUGUUUAAGUAUAGUCCUUUUAUGUAUUUCAUUUGCAUAUAUGUAACCACCGGAUGGUAAUUUCAGAUUGAGAAGAAUGUCUUUGUUAUCUUUUACUCUGGGGAAAGGGCAAGGAUGAAAGUAACAAAGAUUUGUGACGCGUUUGGAGCAAAUCGCUACCCAUUUACAGAUGAUAUAGCCAAACAAUACCAGACAAUAUCUGAGGUAUGGUUUUCUAUUGAAGAGGAUUUAGGUUGAUCAUACCAUCUCCAGUUUUUUUGGGAUGUAAUGUGAGCUUUUCAUUGGUCUUUAUGUUAAGAACAUGUCUGAGAUUAAUUAAAUUGCGAUAUUUAGGUAUCUGGAAAGCUUUCAGAGUUGAAGACCACUAUAGAUGUUGGACAACUUCAGCGAAGCAAUCUUUUACGGACUAUUAGCUUCGAAUUUGAGCAAUGGAACCUUUUGGUUAGUUUCCUUUGAAUAAAUAGUUGGUUUGAUGUUUGCUCUCCUUGCAUAGAGGGCUUGUAUUUCCUCAGUUUGUCUGGAAAUCCUCUUAAAUCACUGAAAUUGCAAUGCCUCUAAAGGUGAAGAAGGAGAAGUCAAUAUAUCACAUUUUAAAUAUGCUGAGUUUUGAUGUGACCAAAAAGUGCCUUGUGGGAGAAGGCUGGUGUCCCAUCUCCGCAACAGAUCAAGUAAAGUUAUCAUACUACUUUCAAUGGUGCACUUUCUUUGUUACCUUUGCAAGUUUUCUGAAACCAAAGUUUUAGCUGUAACUUAUGAAAUGAUAUUUGACUUGGCAGAUAAAAAACACACUGCAGCAGGCAUCUUUGGAUAGCAACUCCCUAGUUGGAGCUAUAUUUCAGGUCCUGCAAACCGAGGAAUCACCACCUACACAUUUCCGCACAAACAAAUUUACUUCUGCUUUCCAGGAAAUUGUUGAUGCAUAUGGGUAAGUAAUAAUAGGAAUUGAUCUGACAUUGAGAUAUGUGAAAAUGAAAACUAUGUUAAAGGUGAUAUGCUUGUUGCUUUAACAAUUUCAAUUGUGUGUUGUACUUUUCUUGGAGUCUGUCAUUUGGAUUCAGGUUUUGCAAAUAUUCCUUGAAUCUCCUUUCUUUCAACUGUUCUAGAAUGUACUUGAUUCUCUAAUGUGAACCUGCUGAAAUGACUUUGAUAUUUUUGUUUGGGUACUUAUGUGUGAGGCCAAGGAGUAUUAAUUCUAGGUUUGCAAAUAUUCCUUGGACAUUUUUGCUUCGACUGUUCUAGAAUUUAUGUAAUUCUCUAACAUUUUCCUCGUGAACUUAACUUUCUUAUUUUUAUUAGGGUAUUUAUAAAUGAGAUGAGAAUUUGUUUGGGGGGGGGGGGGUUUCUGUUGCUUUUAAUGUUAUCAUAUAUUGUUUGAAAUUUACUUGGCCAAUGCCUCUGGUAAUUUUAAAGUUCCCUAGCGAUGAUUUUCUAGAAACUUUUUACAGGGUGGCAAAAUAUCAGGAAGCAAAUCCUGGUGUUUUUACUAUCGUAACAUUUCCCUUUUUAUUUGCCGUUAUGUUCGGAGACUGGGGGCAUGGCUUAUGCUUGUUUCUCGCUACAUUGUAUUUUAUACUCAGGGAGAAGAAAUUGUCCCACCAGGUAAUUUUACAUUGUUUCUGGUUCUUAUUUUUCAAGAGUUCAAUUGUCUAAAUGUGCAUCUUGGAUCUCUCAACUAUUAUGGCUAUCUAAUGUAUCGCAACCUUCAUCAGAAUAUUACAUAAUUUAGUGCAGAUUAAUAUGUUCUUUUCACAAAGUUGUGUUUUAUUUUUGAUUCCUGUGUUUUUAUAACUUUAGCCAUGCACAAUUGAUUUGGUGAUCCUUUACUGCAUUGUCAGUGGAAGAAACAAGUUACUCGAGAGUAGUUAUUAUGUGAUAAACUCUCAGAAUACGGGGAUAUUCUGAAAUAGCUUUUAUGGCUCAGUUAGAGCUGAAAAAUUUGACGUGGAUGUAUGCCUCUUGCUUUUCAAUUACAUAGUGGCUGGAGCCUUCAUGCACUAGACUUUAUAAGUUACAUUCUGCGUGGCAUAGUUCAAGGUUCACCAUAUGUUUCAAGUAAGAGGUGGAUGUGAAUGGUAAUGCUUGAACAGAAAAAACUAUCAGAAAAGUUGGCUGCAUGUUUUAUGAUGCAGGUGAUAGGGUAUUAUAUAUUAAUAUUAAAGCUUCACAUCAUACAGUGUAUAAUAUGCUAAAUCAGCUAUUUCAUGUUUUGUUACAUAUCUUUCUUGAUUGGAUAAUUUUUGUUGAUUUAUAUCAACAGAAGCUUGGAGAUAUUAUGGAGAUGGCUUUUGGUGGUCGUUAUGUUAUUAUGAUGAUGGCACUCUUCUCAAUAUACACAGGAUUGAUAUAUAAUGAGUUUUUUUCUGUUCCUUUUGAACUUUUUGGACGUUCUGCUUAUGACUGCCGAGAUUCUUCAUGCAGGUGUCCAAUUGCUACCUUAACUUCUAGUCACACACCCCCACCUCGAAAUUAAAAAGUAAUAACUAUUCACACAAUCCUUUAACUCAAUGUUCUUUUCAGGGAUGCAUCUACAGUGGGCUUGAUUAAGGUGCGUGGCACCUAUCCUUUUGGUGUUGAUCCCAAAUGGCAUGGCACACGCAGCGAGCUACCAUUCCUCAACUCUUUGAAAAUGAAAAUGUCCAUUUUACUUGGCAUAGCACAGAUGAAUCUCGGAAUAGUUUUAAGCUAUUUCAAUGCAAAGUUCUUUGGGAACGAUAUAAAUAUCUGGUAAGUUUAGAUUCCUGAAUAUGUGCUGUUGCUUGUAUUGCAUGUGUGUAUUUCAUUCACACCAUGCAGUGUUCCAAUUGUAAGUCUUUACAGAUGCAUCUGGGCUUUUAAUUGCAUGGUAGCACAAUAGAGCUCGAAUAUUUGAUGUUGUUGUCGUGAUUGAUAAAUAUGUGCUUUAUACCAUAAUAUUGGCUCGUGUUUACAUCCUUUUGCAGGUACCAGUUUGUUCCCCAGAUUAUUUUUUUAAACAGCCUGUUUGGCUACCUAUCACUUCUCAUAAUUGUGAAAUGGUGCUCCGGUUCCCAAGCUGAUCUCUAUCAUGUAAUGAUAUACAUGUUCUUGAGUCCUACUGCUGAUUUAGGUGAUAAUCAGCUAUUUUUUGGCCAGAAAUAUCUCCAGGUUUUACUUUUAUUUUGAUGAAUAAGUUCUUGGGACCAGUUCAGGUAGAGAAGAACUCUGACUCAUUUCAUGUAUUCCAUUCUACACUAUCCUCAGAUUCUUUUGCUAUUGUUUGCGCUUGUUGCUGUUCCAUGGAUGUUAUUUCCAAAGCCCCUUCUUUUGAAGAAGCAGCACCAGGAAGUAUGUUCUGAAUUAAUUGCAUCGCCUCUGUUAAGUUGGUAGUUUUUACUCUGUUGUCUUCCUGUCUUGAUAUCUAUUUACUUCCAUAACAUGCUUUCUCAGAGACACCGAGGACAAGCCUACAGACCUCUUUAUAGCACUGAGGACUCCUUUGAACUCGAGAUACAAAGUGAUUUACAUGGUCAUGAGGAGUUUGAGUUCAGUGAAGUUUUUGUCCAUCAAUUUAUCCAUACAAUAGAGUUUGUUCUUGGAGCAGUCUCUAACACAGCUUCUUAUCUACGUUUGUGGGCACUUAGGUACAUAUCUGAGGCUGUUGAAAAUUUUAUUUUAAUUAAAAUACAUAAAUCACUUGCUUCUGGAGAAUCUCUUCUUUUUCCAGUAUGACAUUUGGUGUAGAUUAUGAAGUAUUUCGGAAAACUCAAAUUCGGUGGGAAGUUGUUCUUUGCCCAAGCAUGAAUGAAAGAAACAAUGUUUGCAAAUCCCUAACAAAUGAAUGAGCUCCCUGUUGCAUUCACCCUGGCUUUUUUUUUUAAAGGUAGUUUUGUGUUCUUAAUAAUCUUAGAACCAUGACAAGGAAAGUAUGAGAAACUUUUAGGCUGUUUGCAAAUCCCAAUUAUCCUUUUUCUUUAAACCUAUGCCGAAUUCUGUUUCCUUAAGUUGGAUGUUGACAUGUUGUCUUGAAAUCAUAACUGGACUACACUCAGGAAUCAUUGAUAAAUGCAAUUCUACUCUGAUCAUAUUCAUUCAAUCUACUUUAUGCUGAUCUAGUACCACAUAAUGAUUGGAGCAUUGUUGGUUUUGCAGUCUUGCACAUUCAGAACUUUCCAGUGUGUUUUAUGAUAAAGUUCUGCUUCUUGCUUGGGGGUAAGGAUCUCCGUAUUUUUUUUUUUUAUUUUUAAAAAGCUCCUAAAAAUCUUGUAGAAUCUGUUUUAUGACUCACGUGAGGUUCAUUGUGAUCAUGGCGUCAGGUUCAACAACGUCAUUAUCCUCAUCAUUGGGAUUAUUGUGUUUAUAUGUGCUACUGUUGGUGUAUUACUGCUGAUGGAAACCCUGAGUGCAUUUCUCCAUGCCCUGAGGCUUCACUGGGUAGAAUUUCAGAGCAAGUUUUACGAGGGAGAUGGUUACAAGUUUUAUCCAUUCUCAUUUGCAUCACUCAGCGAGGAUGAGGAAUGAUAGGAGCAGUUUUUUUAACAUGACUGAGUUUUAGAUGAUUCAUUUGUGAGUAGACAGAUAUUAGAAGUCCCAGAGGAAUUGCUGAAAAUUUUCGGAGAUUCAAUUCUCUAAAGCACGCCCUUCCGGGUCAAUGUAGUAGUAAUUGUUUUAUGGUGAAUCCCGCAGGCUAGCGGUCAUAUUAGCUCUAUCCGUGGAAAUUGUUACUAAAUUGAUACUCAUGAUGCUAUGAAAGGUAUAACCACGAUUUAUGGCCCCUAGGAUUAAGUCGUCCUGACACUCGUCGUUUGCUGUUUUGUGAAUGAGAGUUCCAUUUAUUUAUCUAAGAGAAGACUUUGCUGCGGUAAAUUUCUUGAUAAAUCCGUCUUUAAGGGUUGCAUAUUUGCAUAAUGUCACAACAUUGGAUAUCAAAUCUGCUGCAAAAUGUACGGACCUCUUAUCCAACCUCUCACAAGGGGAUCAACCCACACCAUAAAAGAACUUUCUGCCCAUUUUCAGAAGCAGCCUUAAAAAUAAUUCUCAAACUAAUUACGCGCCAUGGUAGUCAACAGAAGUUACAGAACUUCAAAGUGCAUCCAUAUUGCCACGAAAAAGGAUAAAAAUAAUAAUAAUCGGCACAAACGGCAGUAAAAAUUAAAACCGCUAUUCUGAUAUACGUCGAGUUCUAAUUUAAACCAUUUUAGGAAUGUUUGUUGGAGCCUCGAGGUGAUACCAUGCAGACCAUCUUCUAGAAUACAUUAACGGAAAGUAGUUCCCAUAUACACAAUACCCAAAUAAGUUCACAUUUAAGUACAAUACCACCAAAUGAAGAUCAAUGACUUGAUACUGAGUUGAUGUGUGAUAGGACCGCCAAAUGAAGGUUAAUGACUUUUAAUACUGAGUUCAUGUGUGAACGGCAGCCACAGAUGAGACCAUAGAAUCAACCCCGCACAAAUUGCGAUCAGCCCUACAGAACUUGUAGUAGCCAUUCUCUCCCCAGUUUUCACCCCACGAGUUCUUUAUGAUCCAGUAAGGCUUGUCCUUGAGCCGGAUAGGGGCGUAGCCCGCAGCACCAUACCCAACUAAAAGCACCCCGUGAUCCUGGCUCUUUGAACAAAUGUAUGGGCAUGAAACCCCUCCAAUAUAUGUCUGCAUCCAGAUUGCAUUGAUCGCAACUGCAGAUGGGGACAAAAAAAAAUAGAGGAAACAGUAUUAGCAUCUCUGUCGUCAACUCCCAACUAAUACAGAAAAUUUCACUUCUCAACUCUCUCCCAGGCAGCUUACUCUGGGGGUGUUCAAGUAUUGAAGUAGCUGAUUACCUGCAAGAGGGCCAUGCUUCACCAGAUUUGCAGCAAUCUGAUCUUCGUCGGUGGAGACAACACUGAAGUUGGACACUUUAGCAGCAAUUUUGCUCUUAUCAAAUUUACAUUUCUCAUCCCUGCCAGUGUAAGGAUAAUCUUGCUCACGUUCAACUCCACCAGAUUUCAGUAUGUACUCGAAGGCAUUGUUCAUUAAUCCGCCAUUACAACCAGAAUCACAUGAAUUAUAUUCUGCUGGAUCGCACUGCAAAAGGUGAAUGCUAAGUCAAUUAAGACAACACUACAUCAACAAGCUCAAUAUCUGCAGCUGCGCAUCAUAAUUUCCUCAUUACUACACAAUACACAUGCUAAGAAGACCGUCCAACCAAUCUGGGCACAAACCAACAUCGGCCCCAUGUCCAGGAACAAAAAGCAAUCUGACCAUACCCUCAAAAUGCACAAAAGCUUAGUUCAUUUAUAUCGCGUAUCUGUCUUCAAUUGAAAAGGAAUUUUAGUUUCACAUAAGAGAUUCAGAAACAUGCUCAUCAACAAAGGGCACCAAGGUACUAAUAAGAUUAUACAGUAUAUACUUUAUCAAGUCAAACUAGAUUACAUCCUGUGGUCUUCAUGCGCGGCAGACAACAGUAGUGAAUAUAGAGAUAAAAAUACAUAGAAUUGAGAGUUGAACGUCACAAAAGUUCAUACUUCAAAUUAAUCUUGUCGUGAGGCAGAAACCAUCAAGCUAGCAACAUCUAUCCUUUUUCAGUUAACCAACUUGAAACAAAACUAUCAUUCAGGCCCUCCAAUUUUUGUACUCAGAGAUAGACAGAAAAAAUUUUUAAAUCUUGGAAAUAUGCAUAACAAAAUUACUAAUUGAUUAUCUAGCUACUGAUCAGAGAUAGGUUUCUGUCCAAUAGUUCUUUAUCCAUUAUUCAGACCAAAUGCAAAAGUCAACGCGAAGAAAACUCAUACCUCAUGGUCACAAUCCACAAGCUGCUGCUCGCUGAGGCUGACUAGCUCUCUGGUGGCCAAAUAGUGCGCUCCUUCCAACGCUCCGGUUGUACUGAAGGACCAGCAUGAUCCGCAGGAACCCUAACAAACACCCAAACUCCGUCAAAGUAAUCGGACGAAACGUUAUAAUAGGACUCACGAGUGACUCAAAUGAAGCUAACAAUACCUGAUCUUUGACGGGGGUGACGGCUCCAUGGUCACGCCAGUCAAAAUCAGCAGGAAGAUCGGUGGUAGGGAGGAUCGGAGCCUUGUUAGCAUCGGCAGGGAGUCUGAGCCGUCGCUUGUGCUUAUUAAGUCCGAGGUGGUUACGCCGGAACUCGGACGGAGUGAGGUCAGAGAACUUAGUAACGCCGUGGACGGCGGAAGGGUCAAGGAGCUGGUGGCGCUUAGCACGGCGCAAGUUAGCCUUGAAAACCGAGAAUCGGUGGUCGUGCUCCUCCUGCGUGGAAUAAGUCUUGCCGUACUUGGUCUUGAAGAGUGAGAAAUGGUGAUCUGCGUUCAGGAGAGGAUCAGCAUCAUCGCCGUCCGGUGUUACGACCUGUCUGAUCAACGGAUCGUCUUGGAUGAUGGACGCGGCUUCACGGUCGCCUGCCGCGGACGCAACCGCAGAGGAUAGCAGAGUGAAGCUGAGAAGGAGAGAGAAAAGAAAGAGACGAUCCAUUGGACUUGAAGAGUGCACUGUGUAGUGGAUCAGAAACGUGAGAUGGUUUCCAUGGAUGUAGGGGUGAGAUUAUAUAAUGGGUGCUGGAGGACAGUAGGUGGAAAUAAGCGAACAAGAUUUUGCAACGUGGUCCGCCUUUAUUACUUUAUUGUUGAUA